Molecule: long non-coding RNA, 303 nt
Filed under: Prunus dulcis (almond)
Lineage: Eukaryota; Viridiplantae; Streptophyta; Magnoliopsida; Rosales; Rosaceae
Description: sRNA ncRNA
Source: RNAcentral
AUAAAAACUUCUGGUAGAAAAAUUUACAGGAUUUACAGGAUGGUAGGAGGGUGUCAAAUCAAUCUUGAAAUCAUUGCUCCAGAUUCCAAGUCCCCAUCCCAUUUUACAAGUUUUCCAAGUUCUCUAUGCACAAAGGUAGUGGAGUUUUGCAGGUGUAGCAUUAUAAUAUACUUUUACAAACUGCUCUUUGAAAUACAGAGACUAGAAACAUGUCAUUUUUUAUAUGAAAAUAUCGAAUAUAUUACUUAUACAUUACCAACGUUGGGAAAAAGCCAAAUACAUCAAAUGCUGCAUCAUGAUUAA